RNAcentral lists this ribosomal RNA (490 nucleotides) under uncultured bacterium. Its description in RNAcentral is "partial 16S ribosomal RNA". It matches the Rfam family "Bacterial small subunit ribosomal RNA", at positions 30 to 507 of the family's 1533-position model. The record is from RNAcentral.
AUUGAACGCUGGCGGCAGGCCUAACACAUGCAAGUCGAACGGUAACAGGAAGAAGCUUGCUUCUUUGCUGACGAGUGGCGGACGGGUGAGUAAUGUCUGGGAAACUGCCUGAUGGAGGGGGAUAACUACUGGAAACGGUAGCUAAUACCGCAUAACGUCGCAAGCCCAAAGAGGGGGACCUCCGGGCCUCUUGCCAUCGGAUGUGCCCAGAUGGGAUUAGCUAGUAGGUGGGGUAACGGCUCACCUAGGCGACGAUCCCUAGCUGGUCUGAGAGGAUGACCAGCCACACUGGAACUGAGACACGGUCCAGACUCCUACGGGAGGCAGCAGUGGGGAAUAUUGCACAAUGGGCGCAAGCCUGAUGCAGCCAUGCCGCGUGUAUGAAGAAGGCCUUCGGGUUGUAAAGUACUUUCAGCGGGGAGGAAGGGAGUAAAGUUAAUACCUUGGCUCAUUGACGUUACCCGCAGAAGAAGCACCGGCUAACUCCGUG